RNAcentral lists this unclassified non-coding RNA (2215 nucleotides) under Hevea brasiliensis (rubber tree). The record is from RNAcentral. Lineage: Eukaryota; Viridiplantae; Streptophyta; Magnoliopsida; Malpighiales; Euphorbiaceae.
CUUCUUCUUCUUCUUCUUCUAUGCACCGUGUGAAACCCCUUUAUUUGUUCUAUCUUUAAGAGCUGCUUGCCGUGAACUGCGGUUGCUUAUUUGCGGCCUACCUACUUAAAGCUUUCGAAAUUCUUCCUCGAUUAGCUGUCGGCGAGCAUCGACAUUUUUGUUGCCUGGCACCGUCAAAGCCACGAUUGUAGCUAUUGACCAGUGUGAUUCAAUGGAGAAAUCAGCGGUUGUCAAGGACAAUUAUCUCAACGGGAAUCAAUUUCACUCGUUUUCUUCUUCCUCUGCUUCUCUUAGAGACGUUAACUACAGGUCUUCUUCCUCUCUCUUUCUCUAAGUGAAGAUAAGGAUCCAUUUUAUAGUGAUUAGUUGUUUUUCUUGUUGGGAUUUGCGGAAAGUAAUUCAAUUAUAUGAAAGAAACUGAUUUUCUAUGUGGGUUUUUGUAUUUGGUUGAUUUCAAAUUGGUUAAUUUGAAUUUGUUAUCUUUUGCAUAUAGGAACCAAUGAUUAUAUUCACUUGGUGAUCUUAUUUGGGCUUGUUUGCAAUACUUGAAUUGGUUGUUCUUAGUUUGAAUUAGAUAGGUACUUGAUAAAGGGGGUGUGUGUGUGUGUUUUUAAAUAUAUUUGAUUAAUAUUUAUAUUUAAUUUCUAAACUCGAGAAUGAGAAGUAUUUCCAAGUUUAUAUAGAGAAAUGAAUUUUAUGGGUUAGUGAUAGAGAGCUAGAAAUUCUUAAGUUUGAAACUUCAGUUAUGUGAUAUGUUCUUGUGGUACACUAUAUUUUGCAAACUCACAGGAGGACCCAAAUUGAAUGAGCUGGCCCGCCUUGUACAUGUGGGAUUGAAUCUGUUGAUUCAUUUAGUUCUAUCAUAAAGUUAUGUAUCUUGAAAGUCAAGUGUAGUUUCAUUAUCCUUCAUAUUUUCUGGUGGUUUGUGAAUGACGGUCGACAAUGAUUUUGUUGUAGUGGUUAGGCAGCAUGGAAACAAUUGUCUCUGUAAUUUUAGCUUUUCUGCCCCAUUUAGUGUCUGUUGUUGUGACUGAUUGACACAUUGACUUUGCAACACCGCCUGAUUAAUGGAGUGGGUGGCAAAACAUGUAUUUGGCCACUCGAAUCAUUUGAAUAGUGAAUAUUGUGGUAAAUUAGGAUGAGUUGCAAAUCGAUUCUGAUGCUGCUUUUAAAUGCUUCCAUCAAUUGCACCAUUCUGAUUCAUAUACAAGUUAUCUACAAUUUGUCGCUGUCGUAGACAUGGUUGCAAAAUAAGUCUCAGAUCAAUUUCUGAUAUUCGUUCACACCUUGUUUUGAAUGACAAAUAGAGUGAUGAAGAAAUGCCAAGAAAGACUAAUAAACUUACCCUUGUUGAAUAACAUUAACAAAUUGGUGUGCAUUUUCAUUUCUUAUAGUUUUCUGUACUCUCUCUAUUGGAUUCUUGAGGUUUUGGUUGUUUCAACAUGGGUCAUUUUUCUGGAACCUGAAUAGUGAAGAUCUUUGAUACAGCUGUGGCAGUUGUGGAUAUGAGUUGAACUUAAGCUCCUCCAAUCGAAACACCUCAACUAUUGGCUCUAAAUAUGGGAAAUCAAUAAAACGAGGGAUAAUCUCAUUCUUUGACAUUGAUGAGAGCAGAUUUACUCAGGCUGAAGAAUUCCAAUGUAUUCCUAACUUUUCGAAAAAUUCCUGGGGUUUGUUUCGCCGGAGAACCAAACUUCUUUGCCGUAAAUGUGGCAAUAAUAUUGGAAUUGCUUAUGAAGAUGAAACUUCUGCUUAUCCACUUGUAUCAGAUGGUUCAGAUUUAUCGUCAGUUAAUGGAUCCAAACAUCAAAAAUAUGAUGUUAAAAUCCGUGCAUUACAGCCCUCAUCUGUUGAUCGGUCUGGCAUUCGACUUUCUGUAUAGUGUGUUGCAGCCAGUCUUUGAAUAAUUUAUGUUAAUUGAAUUUGAAGGGUAUCAAUCACUCAAUAACUAUAGCAAAAAUUCUCUUGUGAUAUAUUCAGGUAUACAUGUUUUGAGUCCUCUUUUAUUUUUUGUUUAUGCAAUUAUCUUCAUUUUUUAGAUGUUUAGUUGGUGCUUGUAAAGAGCAGUAUUAGGAAAUGAACUAAAAAGAAAGCAAGUGUGGAGUCUGAAGGGAGUUGAGGGGUUGAGGAAAGUUCAUAAACCCUUUUGAGAUUUUAUUUGUAUAAUAAUUGUGUGAUAUCUGGAAUUUUUCUAAAUGAAUGAGUAGAUUUUGGA